Molecule: transfer RNA, 76 nt
Filed under: Kitasatospora gansuensis
Lineage: Bacteria; Bacillati; Actinomycetota; Actinomycetes; Kitasatosporales; Streptomycetaceae
Also listed under: 1 other name
Description: tRNA-Trp
Rfam family: tRNA
About the family: Transfer RNA (tRNA) molecules are approximately 80 nucleotides in length.
Source: RNAcentral
GCGGGUAUAGCUCAGUCCGGUAGAGAGCAGCCGCCUCCAAAGCGGUGAGCCGGGGGUUCGAUUCCCUCUACCCGUG